AGAUUGAACGCUGGCGGCAUGCCUAACACAUGCAAGUCGAACGGGAGUAGCAAUACUCUAGUGGCGGACGGGUGAGGAAUACGUAGGAAUUUGCCCUUAAGUGGGGGAUAACCCGGGGAAACCCGGAUUAAUACCGCAUGACCUCGAAAGAGCAAAGUGGGGGAUCGCAAGACCUCACGCUUUUGGAGAAGCCUACGUCGGAUUAGCUAGUUGGUGAGGUAAUGGCUCACCAAGGCGACGAUCCGUAACUGGUCUGAGAGGAUGAUCAAGUCACACCGGAACUGAGACACGGUCCGGACUCUACGGGAGGCAGCAGUGGGGAAUAUUGGACAAUGGGCGCAAGCUGAUCCAGCAAUGCCGCGUGU
This 365-nucleotide ribosomal RNA is filed under the name uncultured soil bacterium. RNAcentral describes it as "bacterial SSU rRNA". It matches the Rfam family "Bacterial small subunit ribosomal RNA", at positions 26 to 404 of the family's 1533-position model. The record is from RNAcentral.